Molecule: long non-coding RNA, 1861 nt
Organism: Vespa mandarinia (Asian giant hornet)
Lineage: Eukaryota; Metazoa; Arthropoda; Insecta; Hymenoptera; Vespidae
Source: RefSeq, a predicted model, not a curated record
AAUUAUUUAUAAAUGAAAAGUGAUAUAUAAUUUGUAUUUAUAUUUAAUGUAAUUUGUAUUUGUAUUUAUAUUUCCAUUUGUAUAUCAUAGUUUUAUAUGUAUAUAUUGAAAAAUCAAUUGUGCGUUUGAAGUAAUCGAUUUUGAAGAUAUCACGUGAGAUCUUUCCAUUCGUUAGUAAUUAAUAUGUUUUAAUGGAUGAUAUGUUAUUUAAUGGGACAAUGACAAUUUUUGUACUUUUUUUCAUUUCUCUAAUUUUAAGUUAUAAAAAUAACUUUCGAGGUAAUGUAAAUCCAAAGAAAACAUCAGUUAUGUAGACAUUAAUUAUCAGGACAAUUUGUGGCAGAGAUCUAUUAAGGACAAUGUCUGUGAGUCAGUGCCCGCCUUAACGUCUUCAGUCACCUAAACAGAGUUGAAAAAGACACCAGUCGUUAUCACAUCUUUGAAUAUAUUUAUAGGGUCAGAAACCUACGGACAAAAGUAUUCACUCCUCUGCGAAAUCAAUAGACAAGAUUUACGUUCUCAGUACUUUCAUGAGAAGAGAUCCUUCCAACUGGAAUAGAAAUAAUUUGAUAUUCGAAGUGAAAGAACCCUAUCGUGAUUUGUAAAUCAAUCCUCGAACAUGAAGAUUCCGUAUCAACCUACGGGGUGAAACAUUCUUUUAAAUGCUUCUACGUUGCUUUCAAAGUAAAUCAUAAGAUUUACACUGAAACCAGUAUCGUGUAAGUAACAAUAUUAUAUCUUUUGUUUCUAAAAGACAGAAACCUAAAUAGACAAUUAAAAAUAUUUAUAUAUAAAUACAAACUCACGUUAAAUUACAAAUCGUCGAUUGAUAAGAAUCUAUUAAUUAUUUUUUAGGAAUCUAUUUCAAAUAUACGCAAAAGUAAUACAAUGUACAUAAUUAAAUGACGUAACAAAUUGUACAAUAGUUAAAACGAAGUAUAACCAAAAUAUUUAUAUUAACUAAAUCGAUAUAAACAAGUUCAAUACAAAAUAUUAAACUCAUUUAUAAUAUGUUAAAUGUAUUUAUAUACGUGUCAUUUGUAGGUCACUUGAUAUUAUUGUGAUCUUAGGAAUCGAUUUCUUUGUUAUAUUUGAGGAUAAACAUUAACUGAAAUAUUUUUAACUGUUUUUACAUCAACGGUCAAACGUCUUCCAAGAACUUCUGAAUAAUGUACCAAGUUGUCUUGUGUGUCGCGACAAAUGUCUCUACGUUACGCAUUUGUCGCGACAUGUCGUUUUAUUAUCGUACGUGUGAACGUGAACGAAAGUACGAUUGAUAUCGACUACUUUUAUAAAUUCCUAAGCUUUCCUGACGCAUCAAGAAAAUAGCAGAGUUUCAUGAGAGAGCGUCACAAAGUCGGGUUGGAUCGGUUACGGAAAGAAGUAAAAUCGUAAAUGGUCGUAAAAGUGGAUACGCGAGAUAGCAGGCGCAUACACAAUACUGGUACUUCUUUUGAAAGUUGUUUCAUUUGAGGAUCGAAUCAAUGUGUCGAUUAAAGCGGUUCUCACUUUCUUUUUAUUUUUCUAAUUCUUUCUUCGAUUUUUUUCAUCUAUUAAAUUUUGCAAUUAAAAAGGAUUUUAUUACUUCAGGAGACACCGACGAAAUAAAUAAAUAUAAACAGUAAGUUAUAUAUUAGAUUGACCACUUGAUAUUAUUUUGAGAGAAAUUAUAAAUAUCCGUGGUACGAUAUACUCUACGAAAAGAUUAAACUCUUCUUUGGGCUAUAAUCAUCAACGACGAGGAGAUUACGACGGUGAAACGGAGAGGAAAGAGAAAGGGAGUUAUUUCACUUGAUUAAAUGCCAAUUUAAAUCGAAUAAUUUGUCAACCACUUUACUCGAAUGAAAUUUUUUUUUAAAUU